Molecule: long non-coding RNA, 565 nt
Organism: Amaranthus tricolor (Joseph's coat)
Lineage: Eukaryota; Viridiplantae; Streptophyta; Magnoliopsida; Caryophyllales; Amaranthaceae
Exons: 3
Source: RefSeq, a predicted model, not a curated record
GCCCUAAACAACACAACCAUUCGAUUUGCUUCUCAAAACAGGUGGUAAUCAACAUCUUGGGUGGGAUUUCGAAAUUUCGAGCCCAUUGUCUUCAAUAUCUGCCGAAAAUAAGGGAAAACCGAAAUCAAUUUAUGUUGCCUCUGAAUUCUGCCAAAAAUGAUGAAACCAAAUUCAAUUUUGCUUCUGUUUUUAAUUGUGCACCAAAAUCCUUAUUUUGCUUCUGAUUCUUGCCGUAAACAAGAAGGAUACGACUAAGUCGAAGACCCCUUUUAGUUGAUUGCGGUGAACCGAUCUUAACUCUUUGAAGCGUCAUUGUUGAUUGAAACCAGUCGGGAACGAUGGGUUAGCGGUGAUGAUUAGAGUUACUUGGAUGUUAUAUUGAGCUAAAUACAUGAGAAGUUGUAGUAUUGUAUUAGGUUUUUGAUAAAUGUAUAAUAGACUUGGUUGUGUUGGUUAUAUUGGACUUUUAGAACGAAUUUUAUGAUUAUAUUGUAUUUUAGUUAGAUGUUUGGUUUGAGAAUUAGCUGAUUUAGCUAUGUUUUAGAACUGGUGACCCCUUUGCUCA